CCCAUCCCACGUCACAGACAACUUCUGGUGGAGCUCAGUCACAAAGUAUAGGCAAACUGGUGCAUGCUGUCACAGCAGCAACACGGGAGAUUUCUCAUGCUGAAUAGAAGUCAACAGGGGGAAGCCAGGCAACCGACUCUUCCUCCAUGGGAUGGAGCAAUGAAUUCCAUAGAUUGAACUGGAAGUUAGCUAGCAGAUGCAGUGCCUUCAGAUCCAAUGGUGCUUAAGAGACUUCUCAUCUUUGGGGCACAAGGGUUUGGAGGACUUAUUUGUCUCUGACUUUGGAAAUCCUCACCACCCUGUAUGGUACAAGAUUUGGCCUUUUCACCUGAAUUUAUUUGCUAUGUGUGGUGACUGCAUUGCUAUCUUCAUAUCAAAGGAGUGUGAGCCAGAAGCUCCAGGAAAACCAUGACCGUACCAUUUCCAUUAGAGUCAACAGAUUCAGCCUUUUGAUUGAUGAAACAUCUACAGUCACAGGAGACAAAGUAGUCAAUAAGAACAAUGAACUCUGUAUCUAUUGAAACCCCUCAAUACCAUCUUAACUGACAACAUCUCAUAUUGAAUCCAGGCUUGUGACUUUAACAUCAUUGUCAUUUUUUCCUGUAUGAUUUUAACAUCUUUUCCUGAUGAAGAAGCCAAUGAAUCUUUGAAAAGCAUUCAUAACAUAUUUUGUUGAUUUUGUUAUCAACUGUUAGUUGAUUAUGGAUUUUAUUCCUAUCUGGGUUUGAUUGUUGUUGAUCCUUUUUGUAGAACUCCUCUGACUAAGCUUCACAUGUAGUUCUUCAGUAAGCUACUGCACAACACUAUAACAUUUCCUCUGUCAACAUGGAUUUAGCCUUAAUAUAACUGAUGCAUGGAUUUUGACUUACAAAAAUCUGACCCUUGCUUUGCUUGGAAUUGACCCUAACAAUAUCUGAAUAUAGACUUCAAUUUUGUAUUGUUUCUCUUCCUGGUGUCCAAACUAGUGACUUGAACCCUUCCUUCUGAGUUGAGAGUUGAUCUAAGGCUUCUGCCUGGAGCAGAAGAGAUUUCAUUGUAAAAUGAUGUACAUGUUUAACCUUCAUGGUUUCUAUCAAGUUCAGUGGAACUAAAAUAUGAGGAUGAACAUUCCUUUUCAUUCUUGAUUGAUGUGUAGUACACAGGUAAGAGAAGAUCUGAUU
Long non-coding RNA from Anolis carolinensis (green anole), 1160 nucleotides. RefSeq lists it as uncharacterized. Lineage: Eukaryota; Metazoa; Chordata; Lepidosauria; Squamata; Anolidae. The transcript is spliced from 4 exons. The record is from RefSeq and is a predicted model, not a curated record.